RNAcentral lists this ribosomal RNA (442 nucleotides) under uncultured bacterium. RNAcentral describes it as "partial 16S ribosomal RNA". It matches the Rfam family "Bacterial small subunit ribosomal RNA", at positions 338 to 795 of the family's 1533-position model. The record is from RNAcentral.
CCUACGGGUGGCAGCAGUGUGGAAUAUUGGGCAAUGGGCGCAAGCCUGACCCAGCAACGCCGCGUGAAGGAAGAAGGCUUUCGGGUUGUAAACUUCUUUUGUCAGGGAAGAGUAGAAGACGGUACCUGACGAAUAAGCCACGGCUAACUACGUGCCAGCAGCAGCGGCAAUACGUAGGUGGCAAGCGUUGUCCGGAUUUACUGGGUGUAAAGGGCGUGUAGCCGGGUUGACAAGUCAGAUGUGAAAUCCUGCGGCUUAACCGCAGAACUGCAUUUGAAACUGUUGAUCUAGAGUACUGGAGAGGCAGAUGGAAUUCCUAGUGUAGCGGUGAAAUGCGUAGAUAUUAGGAAGAACACCAGUGGCGAAGGCGGUCUGCUGGACAGCAACUGACGGUGAGGCGCGAAAGCGUGGGGAGCAAACAGGAUUAGAUACCCUUGUAGUC